AAAAUCAUUGAAUAUUGUGAUUGAAGGAUGAUCUUAUAGAGAUGCAUAAAACAAUGCAGGGAAAUAGAAAGGGUGUAUGCACAGAGUCAUCUCCCCAAG
This is a long non-coding RNA of Amblyraja radiata (thorny skate), 99 nucleotides long. RefSeq lists it as uncharacterized. Lineage: Eukaryota; Metazoa; Chordata; Chondrichthyes; Rajiformes; Rajidae. The transcript has 3 exons. The record is from RefSeq and is a predicted model, not a curated record.